This 406-nucleotide ribosomal RNA is filed under the name uncultured bacterium. Its description in RNAcentral is "partial 16S ribosomal RNA". It matches the Rfam family "Bacterial small subunit ribosomal RNA", at positions 30 to 526 of the family's 1533-position model. The record is from RNAcentral.
AUUGAACGCUGGCGGCAUGCUUUACACAUGCAAGUCGGACGAGUGGCGAACGGGUGAGUAACGCAUCGGAACGUACCGAGUGAUGGGGGAUAACUGUCCGACAGGACAGCUAAUACCGCCUAUUAUUCGCGCGGCCGAUGUCUGAUUAGCUGGUUGGCGGGGGAAAGGCCCACCAAGGCGACGAUCAGUAGCGGGUCUGAGAGGAUGCUCGGCCACACUGGGACGGAGACACGGCCCAGACUCCUACGGGAGGCAGCAGUGGGGAAUUUUGGACAAUGGGCGCAAGCCUGAGCCAGCCAUGCCGCGUGUCUGAAGAAGGCCUUCGGGUUGUAAAGGACUUUUGGCAGGGAAGCGGUACCUGAAGAAUAAGCACCGGCUAACUACGUGCCAGCCGCCGCGGUAAUUC